This 29-nucleotide small RNA is filed under the name Bombyx mori (domestic silkworm). RNAcentral describes it as "ovarian small RNA-17175". Lineage: Eukaryota; Metazoa; Arthropoda; Insecta; Lepidoptera; Bombycidae. The record is from RNAcentral.
GGAAACUACAUACGAUGAAAAAAUUGUGA